RNAcentral lists this ribosomal RNA (499 nucleotides) under uncultured bacterium. RNAcentral's name for it is "bacterial SSU rRNA". It matches the Rfam family "Bacterial small subunit ribosomal RNA", at positions 8 to 518 of the family's 1533-position model. The record is from RNAcentral.
AGAGUUUGAUCAUGGCUCAGGAUGAACGCUGGCGGCGUGCUUAACACAUGCAAGUCGAACGGAGAUAGCGGAGAGCUUGCUUUCUGCUAUCUUAGUGGCGGACGGGUGAGUAACGCGUGGGUAACCUACCCUGUACAGGGGGAUAGCAGCUGGAAACGGCUGAUAAAACCGCAUAAACGGCAGUACCGCAUGGUACAACCGUCAAAUAUUCAUAGGUACAGGAUGGGCCCGCGUCUGAUUAGCCAGUUGGUGGGGUAACGGCCUACCAAAGCGACGAUCAGUAGCCGGCCUGAGAGGGUGAACGGCCACAUUGGGACUGAGACACGGCCCAAACUCCUACGGGAGGCAGCAGUGGGGAAUAUUGGACAAUGGGGGGAAACCCUGAUCCAGCGACGCCCGCGUGAGUGAAGAAGUAUCUCGGUAUGUAAAGCCCUAUCAGCAGGGAAGAUGAUGACGGUACCUGACUAAGAAGCACCGGCUAAUACGUGCCAGCAGCGGC